This 254-nucleotide ribosomal RNA is filed under the name uncultured bacterium. RNAcentral describes it as "partial 16S ribosomal RNA". It matches the Rfam family "Bacterial small subunit ribosomal RNA", at positions 1246 to 1500 of the family's 1533-position model. The record is from RNAcentral.
AAAGCGAAGCCGCGAGGUGGAGNAAACCCAAAAAAGACAGUCUCAGUUCGGAUUGAAGGCUGAAAUUCGCCUUCAUGAAGCCGGAAUUGCUAGUAAUGGCAGGUCAGCAUACUGCCGUGAAUACGUUCCCGGGCCUUGUACACACCGCCCGUCACACCAUGAGAGUUGGGGAUACCCGAAGCCUGUGAGCUAACUUUUAGAGGCAGCAGUCGAAGGUAGAAUCAAUGAUUGGGGUGAAGUCGUAACAAGGUAGC